RNAcentral lists this long non-coding RNA (1450 nucleotides) under Parus major (Great Tit). RNAcentral's name for it is "lncRNA (ENSPMJG00000010083.1)". Lineage: Eukaryota; Metazoa; Chordata; Aves; Passeriformes; Paridae. The record is from RNAcentral.
CUUCUUUUGUGUUUUCCCCAAGUGUGUCUACCUCUGCUACAGCUGGUUGUUAAACCAGCUCUGAGUGCUGUGUUUCAUCUCCUUUUUCUUGUCGGAUGCUGGUCUGAGCUUAUUCAAGGUCUUUAUCCUAUUGUCUUUCAGCAGCUGCCAUCCCUUGUUUCUUUGCUGUCAUUCCAGACUUCUGAGUUUCAGGAUACCACUGUUGGUUUUGAUUGCUGUCUUUCUAACUGCUGUGGGAGCCAAGGAAGGCAUGCCAAAAUCUACAUCAACAGCAGUCAAGCCAGGGUCCUCAUGGAAUUCAGCUCCAGUCCCCUGUUAGGCUGUCUGUUCCCCACUGGAUGGCAGUCCCUGCAAUGUUAUUCACUCUGGGAAGGAAAGUCCAGCUUUGAAGCAGCAAGCUGAAAUCUCAGACUGCUCUGUAGAUGAAUAUGUACGUGAAAUGCCACAGCUGAAACCUCUAAAUGGAACAUGGUUCAUUGAAAGUGAAAUUUCCUUGGUGCCAUCUUUGAGUCAUGGGUACCUCCUCUUCAACAUCAUCUGCAAAAUUCUGUGCAAGGCAACAACUUAUUUAAUGUUGCAUGAUAUAAGCAUAGAGGAGAGACUGCAACUGGGAUGUUGACACUGCUGUUGCAGAUUGUACAGGAAGUAAAUUAUGCAGACAUAGAUACUUAAUGCAGCAGUAAUAAUGUUAGUUAGAAAGCCUCACUUUGAAUUUGAAAAGAAAAUAGAAGACACCAGAGUAAGGAGAUUGGCCAAAAGACCCUAUCAACUGUUAGUCUGUGUAAGCCAGAGUCCUAUUAGUCUCCAGCUAUGCUUCUGAGUCAGCUUGCUGGAUUAGGAGUGCCAGAUCCUGCUUUGCCUCUUAGUGCAUGUCAAUAUUGGAACAAGCCAUAAAAAGGCAGGUUCUGUUUCACAAAUACCUCCGAGUCUUUCAAAACUUCUGAAACCUUCUGAAACUUGUAACCAGCUAUGGCUGUUGAAACCUCUGCUUGCAGAGUGGAAAGGUCAGUCUCUCUAUUUAAGUGUAUCUCUUUUAUGUACACUGGACUUGCAAAAUCUAGUCAAAAACGUUGAAACUGAUAAUUUGAACAAAUGUGUUUGGUUUGACAAAGCAGUUUCUGAAGUAAAAUCUAUUCUUUAAACAGUCUUGCUGUAGUUCCAACAUAAUAAUAAGGCAGCUAAGAGGCAUGGCUCUCUCAUUUAAAGAGUCCUGCACAGAACAGGAUUUUUGUAGUGACUCCUUCUCACCACAUCUCAGUCCAAUGUGUCUCUCUGUGGGCCUGGAACUGGUUGUGUGGUUUUGGAACUGUUUUGAUCAGAAAUUUUAUUGGCAGGUCAUUCCUGCAUGAGGGCUGUUGAUGUACCUCUGCCCUGUACCUUAUGGAACUAUUAUUAAACUCUUUUCAGACAAGACACGGGCUUUUACUCUCCUGGUAAUUACGUUCCUAGU